AGUGGAUGGGGAGCAACCUAGUUGUGCGUGUGUAAAGGUAGUGCCAAGAAAAGCGAUGAUCAUGUUGAAAAUCAAUUCCCGGUACCCGAAACCGACACAGGUGGGCAAGUAGAGAAUACUAAGGGGCGCGAGGUAACUCUCUCCAAGGAACUCGGCAAAAUGACCCCGUAACUUAGGGAGAAGGGGUGCCACCGAGAGGUGGUCGCAGUGAAGAGGCCCAGGCGACUGUUUAGCAAAAACAUAGGUCUCUGCAAACUCGAAAGAGGAGGUAUAGGGGCUGACGCCUGCCCAGUGCCGGAAGGUUAAAGAAGUUGGUCAGUCUUAGGAUGAAGCUAGCGACUGAAGCCCCGGUGAACGGCGGCCGUAACUAUAACGGUCCUAAGGUAGCGAAAUUCCUUGUCGGGUAAGUUCCGACCCGCACGAAAGGCGUAACGAUCUGGGCGCUGUCUCGGAGAGAGGCUCGGCGAAAUAGGAUUGUCUGUGAAGAUACGGACUACCUGCAUUUGGACAGAAAGACCCUAUGAAGCUUUACUAUAGCUUGGAAUUGUGUUCGGGCUUCCUGUGCGCAGGAUAGGUGGGAGGCGUAGAAGGUAUUCUUGUGGGGAUACUGGAGCCAACGGUGAGAUACCACUCUCAGGAGGCUAGAAUUCUAACUUAAUUAAGGACAGUUUCAGGUGGGUAGUUUGACUGGAGCGGUCGCCUCCAAAAAGGUAACGGAGGCGUACAAAGGUUCCCUCAGACUGGUUGGAAAUCAGUCGAAGAGUGCAAAGGCAGAAGGGAGCUUGACUGCGAGAAGUACAGUUCGAGCAGGGUGGAAACACGGUCUUAGUGAUCCGACGGUGCUGUGUGGAAGGGCCGUCGCUCAACGGAUAAAAGUUACUCUAGGAUAACAGGCUGAUCUCCCCCAAGAGUUCACAUCGACGGGGAGGUUUGGCACCUCGAUGUCGGCUCAUCGCAACCUGGGGCGGAAGUACGUCCCAAGGGUUGGGCUGUUCGCCCAUUAAAGCGGUACGUGAGCUGGGUUCAGAACGUCGUGAGACAGUUCGGUCCAUAUCCGAUGUAGGCGUGAGAAUAUUGAGAGGAGCCUUCCUUAGUACGAGAGGACCGGGAAGGACGCACCGCUGGUGUACCUGUUAUGAUGCCAAUUGUAAACGCAGGGUAGCCAAGUGCGGAGAGGAUAACCGCUGAAAGCAUCUAAGUGGGAAGCCCACCUCAAGAUGAGUAUUCUGGUGUAAGGUCACGGGAAGACGACCCGUAAAUAGGCACGAGGUGGAAGUGCAGAGAUGUAUGAAGCCGAAGUGUACUAAUAGACCGUCGGCUUGACC
RNAcentral lists this ribosomal RNA (1325 nucleotides) under metagenome. Its description in RNAcentral is "bacterial LSU rRNA". It matches the Rfam family "Bacterial large subunit ribosomal RNA", at positions 1561 to 2925 of the family's 2925-position model. The record is from RNAcentral.